UGCAGACGGAGAUGGAGAUGCGAGUGGAGGUUUAUUUACAGUGAAAAUAACAGAAGUGAGGGCAGGACUGAACAUAAACCUAAACUGGGUGAAACUAACAAACAAACCUGGACAUAAGGUCAGCAGGAGAAACUCAGAGAUGGCAGAUGAGGACGGCAGAACAGGGAGACGGAGAGAAACAUAGGGAAUGAACACAGACGACGCGACGAGGAGCACAGGCAGACACGCAGUAUAAAUACACACAUCAGGUAAUCAGGAAAUGGCACACAGGAGGGGACACAGCUGGAACUAAUGGACAUAACGAGACACAAACCUACAAAGUAAAACAGGAAACUCACAGACUGUUUUACACAACCAACAGGGGACACGAAAAGGAGAGGCACAGAUUCUGAGGGGUCGCUUCUCUGGGUUUCACUGGCUGUCUAUCUGCUGUCCUCUUUAACUCCAUCAGCCCUCUGAAAGCUGCUCUGCUCCACCCAAAAACUAGUCCCGUUACCAUAACUGGUCCGCUGAUCCAGUCCAUUUGUGGUUUCACUUCAGCCAACCUCUCUCGUGCAACAGAAACUACACACCAUCUGUCAAGCCAGUCUGGAUCAAAACAACUGGGAACAGGUCGGUCUUUAGUGAAUGCCAUCGGGAGUGACUCAGCUCUCAUCAGAGGUGUGAUAGCCAUGGUGAUCUUUGUGACUGUGUCUACGUUAGCCAUAAUGGCCCGAUUCCUCUACAGGAGGAAAUGCACAUGUCAGCACCAGGAAGUAAAAACAGUGAAACCUAAAGACAAUCCAGAGUUGCCAUUAAGAAUAAGUUUUAUAAGUAUUGCUUUUUUUUCCAACUGUGGUCCCCAAUUGGGCUUUUGUAUACACAGUACACAGAGCAGAUUUACAGUGUUUAAUUACCUAAAGCCAGAAUACACCAUAUAUACAAGACCAUCAUGAUACCAAUCAUCUCUGAUUGGGGUUUUAGGUUUUGUCAAGUCAAGUAGUAAUCUCCUCAGACACGCUUGGGAAGUACUUAAACUGUAAAAACCGGUACAGUGUAUAUACAGUCUGGAUUAUUUACAGCCAUCUGUAAUCUGUAAAUCUGAUGGGAGUUUAGCAAUAUAAACUCACUUCUGUAAAAAAAAAACCCCACACAUCAUCAUAAAUAGCAUCAUCGUUGACUUUGUGUUUGUGUUCCUGCACUGCAAGAAUCUGCUGUUGACAGACUCGAGAUCCUGCUGUGACCCGUGUCAGCUGAUCAGCGCAGAUCUCCUGUGCUUGCACACCAACAGUGAAGUCAUCGGGGUCAGCAGCACGCAGGCCACAGGCAGGACUGCUCAGGCGAGACAAAUUUUGUGUAUGAUGAUUUUGUGGCUGAAGAAGUCAACGGGGACACAUUGAGACGGGGACCACGAGAAUCAUAGGAACAGCUGCUGCUUCUUUUUCUUUUUUAAGCCUCCACCGCACUAGUGACCACAGCAGGGUUAUCAGUCCUUCCUCGCUUUUUUUAACUUCUAUGGCUUUUUAUGAAUUGUGUGAUUGCAGCACCCGUGGGACAAAUCGCACACCGGCUCCCACUGAUGUCCAUUCUUCACAUUAGAUGCUGACAGCCACAACGCCACCAUGUGGCCACUUAGCGCAUGCAAAAUUAUGUAGUGGUUACAACCUGCAGAUCAAAACAGCAUCAUAACUACACACCAUUUAAUAUUUUUGCAUGCGUCAUUUGUGAACUACUAGUUUAUCAUUAAUCUUUUUUUUUUCUUGCACAAUGCUCAGUCUUUUGGCACAACCCACUGUCAUUGUUACACUUUCUAUUGCAAUGUUGUGUCUUCACUGUCUUGUGUCUCUAUUGAUUUGCUCUGUCUGGUGUUGCACUGUUUUUGUUUUGGGUUUUUUUUUUUUUUUUGCAAUUUUUGCACACUUGCACUUUAUGUAGUCCUGUGUUACUGACAUAUGUUAUAUGUAGCACCAUGGUCUUGGAGGAGCAUUGUCUCGCUUCACUGUGUACUGUACUGCACAUAGUUGAAAUGACA
This is a long non-coding RNA of Oreochromis aureus, 2011 nucleotides long. RefSeq lists it as uncharacterized. The record is from RefSeq and is a predicted model, not a curated record. The transcript is spliced from 4 exons. Lineage: Eukaryota; Metazoa; Chordata; Actinopteri; Cichliformes; Cichlidae.